ACGGGAGGUAGCAGUGGGGAAUAUUGCACAAUGGGCGAAAGCCUGAUGCAGCGACGCCGCGUGAGUGAUGAAGUAUUUCGGUAUGUAAAGCUCUAUCAGCAGGGAAGAUAAUGACGGUACCUGACUAAGAAGCACCGGCUAAAUACGUGCCAGCAGCCGCGGUAAUACGCAUGGUGCAAGCGUUAUCCGGAUUUACUGGGUGUAAAGGGAGCGCAGGCGGUACGGCAAGUCUGAUGUGAAAGCCCGGGGCUCAACCCCGGUACUGCAUUGGAAACUGUCGAACUAGAGUGUCGGAGGGGUAAGUGGAAUUCCUAGUGUAGCGGUGAAAUGCGUAGAUAUUAGGAGGAACACCAGUGGCGAAGGCGACUUACUGGACGAUAACUGACGCUGAGGCUCGAAAGCGUGGGGAGCAAACAGGAUUAGAUACCCUGGUA
RNAcentral lists this ribosomal RNA (434 nucleotides) under uncultured Roseburia sp. RNAcentral describes it as "partial 16S ribosomal RNA". It matches the Rfam family "Bacterial small subunit ribosomal RNA", at positions 341 to 792 of the family's 1533-position model. Lineage: Bacteria; Bacillati; Bacillota; Clostridia; Lachnospirales; Lachnospiraceae. The record is from RNAcentral.